GGAGAGAUAGCUCAGAUGGUAAGAGCACAAUCUGCUCUCCCAGAAAACUUGGGUUCAAUUCCCAACACUCCU
Cricetulus griseus (Chinese hamster) is the source of this 72-nucleotide non-coding RNA. Lineage: Eukaryota; Metazoa; Chordata; Mammalia; Rodentia; Cricetidae. The record is from Rfam.